CAGUCGCCGCGGGAAUACGGAGGGUGCAAGCGUUAAUCGGAAUUACUGGGCGUAAAGCGCACGCAGGCGGUCUGUUAAGUCAGAUGUGAAAUCCCCGGGCUUAACCUGGGAACUGCAUUUGAAACUGGCAGGCUUGAGUCUUGUAGAGGGGGGUAGAAUUCCAGGUGUAGCGGUGAAAUGCGUAGAGAUCUGGAGGAAUACCGGUGGCGAAGGCGGCCCCCUGGACAAAGACUGACGCUCAGGUGCGAAAGCGUGGGGAGCAAACAGGAUUAGAUACCCGCGUAGUCCCUGUCUCUUAUAC
Molecule: ribosomal RNA, 301 nt
Filed under: uncultured bacterium
Lineage: Bacteria
Description: partial 16S ribosomal RNA
Rfam family: Bacterial small subunit ribosomal RNA
Source: RNAcentral